UUGCUUUGGCAGCACACAUACCAAAAUUGGAAUGACACAAAGAAGAUUGGCAUGGCACCUGCCUAAGGAGGACAUGAAAAUUUGUGAAGCACUCUAUAUUUUU
This is a small nuclear RNA of Trichosurus vulpecula (common brushtail), 103 nucleotides long. Lineage: Eukaryota; Metazoa; Chordata; Mammalia; Diprotodontia; Phalangeridae. The record is from RefSeq and is a predicted model, not a curated record.